AUUGAACGCUGGCGGCAUGCCUUACACAUGCAAGUCGAACGGCAGCACGGGAGCAAUCCUGGUGGCGAGUGGCGAACGGGUGAGUAAUAUAUCGGAACGUGCCCGGUCGUGGGGAUAACGUAGCGAAAGCUACGCUAAUACCGCAUACGAUCUACGGAUGAAAGCGGGGGAGUCGCAAGACCUCGCGCGAUUGGAGCGGCCGAUAUCAGAUUAGGUAGUUGGUGAGGUAAAGGCUCACCAAGCCGACGAUCUGUAGCUGGUCUGAGAGGACGACCAGCCACACUGGGACUGAGACACGGCCCAGACUCCUACGGGAGGCAGCAGUGGGGAAUUUGGACAAUGGGCGGCAAAGCCUGAUCCAGCAAUGCCGCGUGCAGGAUGAAGGCCUUGGUUGUAACUAGCUUUGUACGGUAACGAAACGUGAGCUCUAAUAACUAGUUGUCUAAUAGUACGGUACCGUAAGAAUAAGAC
RNAcentral lists this ribosomal RNA (471 nucleotides) under uncultured bacterium. RNAcentral's name for it is "bacterial SSU rRNA". It matches the Rfam family "Bacterial small subunit ribosomal RNA", at positions 30 to 492 of the family's 1533-position model. The record is from RNAcentral.